This is a long non-coding RNA of Nematostella vectensis (starlet sea anemone), 429 nucleotides long. RefSeq lists it as uncharacterized. The transcript has 2 exons. Lineage: Eukaryota; Metazoa; Cnidaria; Anthozoa; Actiniaria; Edwardsiidae. The record is from RefSeq and is a predicted model, not a curated record.
GCUUAGUAAAUAAGAAGAGGGAAGAGUUUACUAAGUGAGAAGAUAUAAGAGCUUAGUAAAUAAGAAGAGGUAAGAGUUUACUAAGUGAGAAGAGAAUAAGAGUUUAGUAAGUGAAAAGAGGUAAGAGUUUAUUGAGAAGAGGUAAGAGUUUAUUGAGAAGAGGUAAGAGUUUGGUUAGUGAGAAGAGAAUAAGAGUUUAGUAAGUGAAAAGAGGUAAGAGUUUAGUAAGUGAGAAGAGAUAAGUAAGUGAAAAGAGGUAAGAGCUUAGUUAGUGAAAAGAGUUAAGAGAUUAGUGAGAAGAGGUAAGAGUUUAGUAAGUGAGAAUACGGUAAGAGUUUAGUAAGUGAGAAUACGGUAAGAGUUUAGUAAGUGAGAAGAGGUAAGAAUAUAUUUAGUAAGUGAGAAAAGAGUUUAGUGAGUGAGAAGAGA